Molecule: long non-coding RNA, 286 nt
Filed under: Brassica napus (rape)
Lineage: Eukaryota; Viridiplantae; Streptophyta; Magnoliopsida; Brassicales; Brassicaceae
Description: long non-coding RNA (BNAP_LNC014386)
Source: RNAcentral
UUAGAGCACCAUUAUCGGUGGUCUUUAGGGGGUCUCUUAAUUUAAUUGUGCAUUAAAAUUAAAUCAAAAACACAAUAAACGUUGGAGACGUCGCUUAAUUGGGGUAAGGUAGAGACCGUAUUUGAGAGACACGUGUAGGCAAAGGAAGAAGAGAGAGGAAGAGCGUCUACGGUUUGUUUUGGUUCAUUCUCUCUUUCUCUCGAAACCUCUCCACCUACCUUUCCGAGAAGGCGAUUCUCUCUUCCUCCAUGGUUCUUCGACUUGCCGGCGAAACUCCAUGUCUCCA